GAUGAACGCUGGCGGCGUGCCUAAUACAUGCAAGUCGAGCGAACAGACGAGGAGCUUGCUCCUCUGACGUUAGCGGCGGACGGGUGAGUAACACGUGGAUAACCUACCUAUAAGACGGGGAUAACUUCGGGAAACCGGAGCUAAUACCGGAUAAUAUAUUGAACCGCAUGGUUCAAUAGUGAAAGACGGUUUUGCUGUCACUUAUAGAUGGAUCCGCGCCGCAUUAGCUAGUUGGUAAGGUAACGGCUUACCAAGGCAACGAUGCGUAGCCGACCUGAGAGGGUGAUCGGCCACACUGGAACUGAGACACGGUCCAGACUCCUACGGGAGGCAGCAGUAGGGAAUCUUCCGCAAUGGGCGAAAGCUUGACGGAGCAACGCCGCGUGAGUGAUGAAGGUCUUCGGAUCGUAAAACUCUGUUAUUAGGGAAGAACAAAUGUGUAAGUAACUAUGCACGUCUUGACGGUACCUAAUCAGAAAGCCACGGCUAACUACGUG
This 497-nucleotide ribosomal RNA is filed under the name uncultured bacterium. RNAcentral's name for it is "partial 16S ribosomal RNA". It matches the Rfam family "Bacterial small subunit ribosomal RNA", at positions 28 to 507 of the family's 1533-position model. The record is from RNAcentral.